RNAcentral lists this ribosomal RNA (253 nucleotides) under uncultured bacterium. RNAcentral's name for it is "partial 16S ribosomal RNA". It matches the Rfam family "Bacterial small subunit ribosomal RNA", at positions 524 to 776 of the family's 1533-position model. The record is from RNAcentral.
UACGUAGGGUGCGAGCGUUGUCCGGAAUCAUUGGGCGUAAAGAGCGCGUAGGCGGCCAGAUAAGUCCGGUGUGAAAGUCACAGGCUCAACCUGUGAAUGCCGCUGGAAACUGUCUGGCUAGAGUCCGGAAGGGGCGAGUGGAAUUCCUGGUGUAGCGGUGAAAUGCGCAGAUAUCAGGAGGAACACCAAUGGCGAAGGCAGCUCGCUGGAACGGUACUGACGCUGUGGAGCGAAAGCGUGGGGAGCAAACAGG